Molecule: ribosomal RNA, 590 nt
Filed under: uncultured bacterium
Lineage: Bacteria
Description: partial 16S ribosomal RNA
Rfam family: Bacterial small subunit ribosomal RNA
Source: RNAcentral
UGGGGAAUUUUGGACAAUGGGCGAAAGCCUGAUCCAGCAAUGCCGCGUGUGUGAAGAAGGCCUUCGGGUUGUAAAGCACUUUUGUCCGGAAAGAAAUCCUUGGCUCUAAUACAGUCGGGGGAUGACGGUACCGGAAGAAUAAGCACCGGCUAACUACGUGCCAGCAGCCGCGGUAAUACGUAGGGUGCAAGCGUUAAUCGGAAUUACUGGGCGUAAAGCGUGCGCAGGCGGUUUGCUAAGACCGAUGUGAAAUCCCCGGGCUCAACCUGGGAACUGCAUUGGUGACUGGCAGGCUAGAGUAUGGCAGAGGGGGGUAGAAUUCCACGUGUAGCAGUGAAAUGCGUAGAGAUGUGGAGGAAUACCGAUGGCGAAGGCAGCCCCCUGGGCCAAAUACUGACGCUCAUGCACGAAAGCGUGGGGAGCAAACAGGAUUAGAUACCCUGGUAGUCCACGCCCUAAAACGAUGUCAACUAGUUGUUGGGGAUUCAUUUUCCUUAGUAACGUAGCUAACGCGUGAAGUUGACCGCCUGGGGGAGUACGGUCGCAAGAUUAAAACUUAAAUUGAAUUGACGGGGUCAUAGCUGUUUCCU